GAUGAACGCUGGCGGCGUGCUUAACACAUGCAAGUCGAACGAGAAGUGGAGACGGAAACCUUCGGGCGGAAGACUUUAUUUCGAGUGGCGGACGGGUGAGUAACGCGUGGGUAACCUGCCUCAUACAGGGGGAUAACAGUUGGAAACGACUGUUAAUACCGCAUAAGACCACGGCACCGCAUGGUGCGGGGGUAAAAACUCCGGUGGUAUGAGAUGGACCCGCGUUCGAUUAGCCAGUUGGCGGGGUAACGGCCCACCAAAGCGACGAUCGAUAGCCGAUCUGAGAGGAUGACCGGCCACAUUGGGACUGAGACACGGCCCAAACUCCUACGGGAGGCAGCAGUGGGGAAUAUUGCACAAUGGGGGAAACCCUGAUGCAGCGACGCCGCGUGAGUGAAGAAGUAUUUCGGUAUGUAAAGCUCUAUCAGCAGGGAAGAAAAUGACGGUACCUGAGUAAGAAGCCCCGGCUAACUACGUG
This 478-nucleotide ribosomal RNA is filed under the name uncultured bacterium. RNAcentral's name for it is "partial 16S ribosomal RNA". It matches the Rfam family "Bacterial small subunit ribosomal RNA", at positions 28 to 507 of the family's 1533-position model. The record is from RNAcentral.